AAAUUGAAGAGUUUGAUCAUGGCUCAGAUUGAACGCUGGCGGCAGGCCUAACACAUGCAAGUCGAACGGUAACAGGAAGCAGCUUGCUGCUUCGCUGACGAGUGGCGGACGGGUGAGUAAUGUCUGGGAAACUGCCUGAUGGAGGGGGAUAACUACUGGAA
RNAcentral lists this ribosomal RNA (161 nucleotides) under Escherichia coli. Its description in RNAcentral is "partial 16S ribosomal RNA". It matches the Rfam family "Bacterial small subunit ribosomal RNA", at positions 1 to 155 of the family's 1533-position model. RNAcentral also lists the same sequence under 13 other names. Lineage: Bacteria; Pseudomonadati; Pseudomonadota; Gammaproteobacteria; Enterobacterales; Enterobacteriaceae. The record is from RNAcentral.